GGACCAUUAGCUCAGUUGGUAGAGCAGAUGACUCUUAAUCAUAAGGUCCGGGGUUCGAGUCCCCGAUGGUCCACCA
This 76-nucleotide transfer RNA is filed under the name Clostridiales bacterium. Its description in RNAcentral is "tRNA-Lys". It matches the Rfam family "tRNA". Rfam says of the family: Transfer RNA (tRNA) molecules are approximately 80 nucleotides in length. Their secondary structure includes four short double-helical elements and three loops (D, anti-codon, and T loops). The record is from RNAcentral. Lineage: Bacteria; Bacillati; Bacillota; Clostridia; Eubacteriales. RNAcentral also lists the same sequence under 1 other name.